GAUGAACGCUGGCGGCGUGCCUAAUACAUGCAAGUCGAGCGAACAGAUGAGGAGCUUGCUCCUCUGACGUUAGCGGCGGACGGGUGAGUAACACGUGGAUAACCUACCUAUAAGACUGGGAUAACUUCGGGAAACCGGAGCUAAUACCGGAUAAUAUAUUGAACCGCAUGGUUCAAUAGUGAAAGACGGUUUUGCUGUCACUUAUAGAUGGAUCCGCGCCGCAUUAGCUAGUUGGUAAGGUAACGGCUUACCAAGGCAACGAUGCGUAGCCGACCUGAGAGGGUGAUCGGCCACACGGGAACUGAGACACGGUCCAGACUCCUACGGGAGGAAGCAGUAGGGAAUCUUCCGCAAUGGGCGAAAGCCUGACGGAGCAACGCCGCGUGAGUGAUGAAGGUCUUCGGAUCGUAAAACUCUGUUAUUAGGGAAGAACAAAUGUGUAAGUAACUAUGCACGUCUUGACGGUACCUAAUCAGAAAGCCACGGCUAACUACGUG
Molecule: ribosomal RNA, 497 nt
Filed under: uncultured bacterium
Lineage: Bacteria
Description: partial 16S ribosomal RNA
Rfam family: Bacterial small subunit ribosomal RNA
Source: RNAcentral